UAACACAUGCAAGUCGAGGGGCAGCAUGAUUUGUAGCAAUACAGAUUGAUGGCGACCCGGCGCACGGGUGAGUAACGCGUAUGCAACUUACCUAUCAGAGGGGGAUAGCCCGGCGAAAGUCGGAUUAAUACCUCAUAAAACAGGGGUCCCGCAUGGGAAUAUUUGUUAAAGAUUCAUCGCUGAUAGAUAGGCAUGCGUUCCAUUAGGCAGUUGGCGGGGUAACGGCCCACCAAACCGACGAUGGAUAGGGGUUCUGAGAGGAAGGUCCCCCACAUUGGUACUGAGACACGGGCCAAACUCCUACGGGAGGCAGCAGUGAGGAAUAUUGGUCAAUGGCCGAGAGGCUGAACCAGCCAAGUCGCGUGAAGGAAGAAGGAUCUAUGGUUUGUAAACUUCUUUUAUAGGGGAAUAAAGUGGAGGACGUGUCCUUUUUUGUAUGUACCCUAUGAAUAAGCAUCGGCUAACUCCGUGCCAGCAGCCGCGGUAAUACGGAGGAUGCGAGCGUUAUCCGGAUUUAUUGGGUUUAAAGGGUGCGUAGGUGGUGAUUUAAGUCAGCGGUGAAAGUUUGUGGCUCAACCAUAAAAUUGCCGUUGAAACUGGGUUACUUGAGUGUGUUUGAGGUAGGCGGAUGCGUGGUGUAGCGGUGAAUGCAUAGAUAUCACGCAGAACUCCGAUUGCGAAGGCAGCUUACUAAACCAUAACUGACACU
Molecule: ribosomal RNA, 709 nt
Filed under: uncultured Bacteroidales bacterium
Lineage: Bacteria; Pseudomonadati; Bacteroidota; Bacteroidia; Bacteroidales
Description: bacterial SSU rRNA
Rfam family: Bacterial small subunit ribosomal RNA
Source: RNAcentral